GGACUACAGGGGUUUCUAAUCCUGUUUGAUCCCCACGCUUUCGUGCCUCAGCGUCAAUCACUGUGUAGUACGCUGCCUUCGCAAUCGGUGUUCUGUGUCAUCUCUAAGCAUUUCACCGCUACAUGACACAUUCCGCAUACCUCCACAGUAUUCAAGACUAAUAGUAUCAAUGGCAGUUUCCGGGUUGAGCCCGAAGAUUUCACCGCUGACUUAAUAGCCCGCCUACACACCCUUUAAACCCAGUAAAUCCGGAUAACGCUCGCACCCUCCGUAUUACCGCGGCUGCUGGCAC
RNAcentral lists this ribosomal RNA (292 nucleotides) under uncultured Bacteroidota bacterium. Its description in RNAcentral is "uncultured Bacteroidetes bacterium partial 16S ribosomal RNA". Lineage: Bacteria; Pseudomonadati; Bacteroidota. The record is from RNAcentral.